GACGUAGGGUGCAAGCGUUGUCCGGAAUUAUUGGGCGUAAAGAGCUCGUAGGCGGUUUGUUGCGUCGGCUGUGAAAUCCCGAGGCUCAACCUCGGGUCUGCAGUCGAUACGAGCAAACUAGAGUGUUGCAGGGGAGACUGGAAUUCCUGGUGUAGCGGUGAAAUGCGCAGAUAUCAGGAGGAACACCGGUGGCGAAGGCGGAUCUCUGGGCCGUAACUGACGCUGAGGAGCGAAAGCAUGGGGAGCGAACAGG
Molecule: ribosomal RNA, 253 nt
Filed under: uncultured bacterium
Lineage: Bacteria
Description: partial 16S ribosomal RNA
Rfam family: Bacterial small subunit ribosomal RNA
Source: RNAcentral